AAUUAUUCCGAAAGAGUUCUCAGAUCUGGGAGCACAAUAUUGGAAGGUGAUAAACAGUAAGACAGAUUGGUGAUGCUGAACUCCAGGUGGAACGUAGGACCAUCAUGUGGGGAUGACAAUUAGUCUUUGUGAGCCCGUGACCGACCGUGUCUUGUGUGCAUGAGGCAUGAUUCCCACAUACAGACAAAUAUCUAGCUAGUACUUCAUGCUUACAUAUAUAAUUUUGUUCUUAACAGAAUGCAGUCACGAGCGGCUUCCCCUCCACCUCACGUUUUCAGAGUACCCUUCAAUUAUCCAUUUAUUUCGCAGCUAGUCGUCGGCAGAUCAUCAAGAUCGUGAUUGGGCGAUCUAUAUCUCUGGCCUGCUGUUUAUCUUUUCGGUUUGAUGCUAUUGUGUAAGCAGAUGCUUUCGAGAAUUUGAAGCCUGCUCAUGAUAUUUUCUUAAGUUGCAUCAAAGAUUCUGAAUGUGCUCAAGUGCUGCCCAGUGAAGUAUACUGAGAGAUUCUGCAGAUUAUUGUCUUUUGAGACAUGUUUUCCAAACAAUUAUUUUUAUUGGCUUCAAACAUAGGUUGUAUUGAAUAUUCUGAUUUAAUUUUUUCAUCUCAAUAAUUUGCCAAUUUUUCUUUUUUUCACCUUACUGCUGAAUGAGUGUUUGUCAGCAUAAUUGUCCAGUGACUGAAUUGAUCAUUGUAGCUUUUCUGUGACCAAUCACUCUUAUAUUAUUGAAAUAAUUUUAUGCCUAUAUUUUCCUAGUGUAUUGUCAUUGAAGAUGCAUUAGCUGGAGUUCAAGCUGCCAAAGCUGGUCAAAUGAAGUAAAUUUUUUCAUAUUAUGUGUUUCCUGCAUUAAAAUCGAGUACAAAUAAAUGUAAACAUAUUGAGCUUGGGUUGGUUUCCCAUGUGCUUAAUCAUUGUUGGUAUACCUUGGAACCAUUAUAUUAUAUGAUUAUUUGGUAGAAAUGGUAAUCUCUUUUUGGUGCUUGUAGAUUUAUAGCCGUGACAACUACAUUGUCUGCAGAAACUUUAAAGGCUGCCAGUCCAUCACUUACCCGGAAUGAGAUAGGAAGUGUUUCACUGCAUGAUAUUCUUAGGGGUGGCUCAGAUGGCUAUAGUAUGUAGUCCUGAGAGUAUGAUGCAAAUGUCAAUUUGUACCAUUAUUAAUGUAGAAUGCUGAAGCUACAGUUAUUUCAUGUUUUAAGAACUAUAAGUAAGAUCAAUUUUCUUGUAAUUGGUGUCA
Molecule: long non-coding RNA, 1233 nt
Organism: Carya illinoinensis
Lineage: Eukaryota; Viridiplantae; Streptophyta; Magnoliopsida; Fagales; Juglandaceae
Exons: 2
Source: RefSeq, a predicted model, not a curated record